This 253-nucleotide unclassified non-coding RNA is filed under the name uncultured Micrococcaceae bacterium. RNAcentral's name for it is "contains 16S-23S intergenic spacer region". It matches the Rfam family "Bacterial small subunit ribosomal RNA", at positions 524 to 776 of the family's 1533-position model. Lineage: Bacteria; Bacillati; Actinomycetota; Actinomycetes; Micrococcales; Micrococcaceae. The record is from RNAcentral.
UACGUAGGGCGCGAGCGUUAUCGGGAAUUAUUGGGCGUAAAGAGCUUGUAGGCGGUUUGUCGCGUCUGCUGUGAAAGCCCGGGGCUUAACCCCGGGUGUGCAGUGGGUACGGGCAGACUAGAGUGCAGUAGGGGAGACCGGAGUUCCUGGUGUAGCGGUGAAAUGCGCAGAUAUCAGGAGGAACACCGAUGGCGAAGGUAGGUCUCUGGGCUGUCACUGACGCUGAGAAGCGAAAGCAUGGGGAGCGAACAGG